CCGAGUGAGGGCCCCCGGCCCGACCUCCAACCCUUUGUUAUCAAAACCACUGUUGCCUCGGGGGCGACCCGGGCCCUUCGGCACGGGGCCCCCGGCGGACAAUUUCAAAACACUGCAUCUUUGCGUCGGAUUACAAAAGUUUAAUGAUUUA
This 151-nucleotide unclassified non-coding RNA is filed under the name uncultured fungus. RNAcentral's name for it is "sequence contains ITS1, 5.8S rRNA gene". The record is from RNAcentral. Lineage: Eukaryota; Fungi.